This 3020-nucleotide non-coding RNA is filed under the name synthetic construct. The record is from RNAcentral.
AGAUCCAGAGGCUUUACAAACACUGUCUCCACUGCAGCUGCCCCAAUUGCCAAAAUAACUGCAAACCAGGCCAGACACGCUCCAAAGCAUUUACUAUUCAAAAACAGCCUAUUUGGAGUCAUAACUAGCAAACACCUAUGUAUAGAAAUUAUCAUCAAUAUAAAUACAAUACAAAAGUCCAAGGUGCUUACAUAAAGGGUGAAUAAUACACACAAUAGCAUAGAUCCUGGCAUGGUGUACAGGAGGUGAGAUAUUUCUAGCACAUGAGCCAAAGAGGCCAACAUGCACACAAAACAAAAUACUAGCAUCAAAACAUCUGCCCCCUUACAUGCCGCCCUAUAUGCACAAAACACACACACUACCGUCAGAUUUCCAAGCACAGACAGAACAAACAUAAACAGAGCCAGUGCAAACAGUACCCCAUACUUGAGGGACACCGUACAGGGGCUCGCCAAAUCUGGAAUCCAGGUAGCAUUGUCAUAAUAAUCGUCAUAGGACAAUGAUGAGUUUUCUAAGAAUGCCUGAAGAUCUUCCAGGUCCAGGUCCCGCAGGACAAGCAUCGUGGCUCCGGUGUGGGGACACUCACUCAGUCUGUCUUUCUUGCAGAGUCAGAAGUAGAGAAACAGGAAGAAGGUCCCCUUUAAGGAGAACUGUGACACACCUGCCUACAGAAUUUAAAGCAUAAACACUUGACCCACACCCUUCCUGUGCUAAAAGUUGUGACUGUGUACUUUAUCUCUUUCAGAUAAUGCCCACAUCCCCACCGACUACACGCAACACAACCUCAGGCAAAACCAGAUCAGGGUGCAAACGUAGGUGCUUCAACAAACCAGCAGCCAUGCCUCCUAAAAGACGCCGCGCUCCAAAAAGACCAGCCCCUCCUCCACCACCGGGAUGCCAAGGUGAUGAGGAGUCCAGCCAGGGAACUCAAACGCCAAACCCCCCAUCACCACCAGUGCCCCCUUCAUCACCAACACUUCCCUCAUCCCCCGUCCCUCCUUCAUCACCAGUACAUGAGCCACCAUCUCCUUCCCCCCCACCAGCCCCACCAUCACCAGAUGUUGAUGUUGAAGGUUUAGAUGUAGGAGAGACAGACGAUCCCGGUCCCCCUCCACCAAAAAGAUACUCCAGGUAUCAAAAACCGCAUAAUCCAUCUGAUCCAUUGCCUAAAAAAUAUCAGGGAAUGCGAAGACACCUGCAGGUGACAGCACCCAGGUUAUUUGAUCCCGAGGGUCACCCCCCAACACAUUUUAAGUCAGCUGUUAUGUUUAGUAGCACACAUCCCUACACUUUGAAUAAACUUCACAAGUGUAUCCAAAGCAAACAUGUACUCUCAACACCAGUUAGCUGUUUACCCUUGGUACCAGGCACAACACAACAGUGUGUAACAUACUAUUUACUUUCAUUUGUUGAAGACAAGAAACAGGCCAAAAAACUAAAAAGGGUUGUCUUGGCCUACUGUGAAAAAUACCACAGCAGCGUAGAAGGUACUAUAGUCAAGGCAAAGCCUUAUUUUCCCUUACCAGAGCCCCCUACAGAGCCCCCUACAGACCCCGAGCAGCCAUCCACAAGUACACAAGCUUCUGGCACACAACAUGGUCCCACAGCAUCUCUGGAUGCCGGUGCAGAGCAAGGUGCCACAGGAUCACCUGGAUCUAGUCCAGGACAACAGGGACAAGGGUCUCAGACAAAGGGUGGGCGCGCCGACCCAGCUUUCUUGUACAAAGUGGUUGAUGCUGUUAUGGACCCAGAAACGCUGGUGAAAGUAAAAGAUGCUGAAGAUCAGUUGGGUGCACGAGUGGGUUACAUCGAACUGGAUCUCAACAGCGGUAAGAUCCUUGAGAGUUUUCGCCCCGAAGAACGUUUUCCAAUGAUGAGCACUUUUAAAGUUCUGCUAUGUGGCGCGGUAUUAUCCCGUAUUGACGCCGGGCAAGAGCAACUCGGUCGCCGCAUACACUAUUCUCAGAAUGACUUGGUUGAGUACUCACCAGUCACAGAAAAGCAUCUUACGGAUGGCAUGACAGUAAGAGAAUUAUGCAGUGCUGCCAUAACCAUGAGUGAUAACACUGCGGCCAACUUACUUCUGACAACGAUCGGAGGACCGAAGGAGCUAACCGCUUUUUUGCACAACAUGGGGGAUCAUGUAACUCGCCUUGAUCGUUGGGAACCGGAGCUGAAUGAAGCCAUACCAAACGACGAGCGUGACACCACGAUGCCUGUAGCAAUGGCAACAACGUUGCGCAAACUAUUAACUGGCGAACUACUUACUCUAGCUUCCCGGCAACAAUUAAUAGACUGGAUGGAGGCGGAUAAAGUUGCAGGACCACUUCUGCGCUCGGCCCUUCCGGCUGGCUGGUUUAUUGCUGAUAAAUCUGGAGCCGGUGAGCGUGGGUCUCGCGGUAUCAUUGCAGCACUGGGGCCAGAUGGUAAGCCCUCCCGUAUCGUAGUUAUCUACACGACGGGGAGUCAGGCAACUAUGGAUGAACGAAAUAGACAGAUCGCUGAGAUAGGUGCCUCACUGAUUAAGCAUUGGUAACCGGUUAGUAAUGAGUUUAAACGGGGGAGGCUAACUGAAACACGGAAGGAGACAAUACCGGAAGGAACCCGCGCUAUGACGGCAAUAAAAAGACAGAAUAAAACGCACGGGUGUUGGGUCGUUUGUUCAUAAACGCGGGGUUCGGUCCCAGGGCUGGCACUCUGUCGAUACCCCACCGAGACCCCAUUGGGGCCAAUACGCCCGCGUUUCUUCCUUUUCCCCACCCCACCCCCCAAGUUCGGGUGAAGGCCCAGGGCUCGCAGCCAACGUCGGGGCGGCAGGCCCUGCCAUAGCAGAUCCACUAGUAACGGCCGCCAGUGUGCUGGAAUUCAGGGACAUAAAUCACAUUCCCAGAAUAUAUCCUGGGCAACACCUUCGCCAGGGCAUGCAACAAGAAUGUAAAGCCAGUGGUCUGGAAUUUUCUCUGUGCCAAAAAUAUGUCUUCUAAUGGAAAAUGGUUCAUUAAAUUGUUUUCAAUAAAAAA